RNAcentral lists this ribosomal RNA (1157 nucleotides) under Escherichia coli. RNAcentral describes it as "partial 23S ribosomal RNA". It matches the Rfam family "Bacterial large subunit ribosomal RNA", at positions 1 to 1191 of the family's 2925-position model. Lineage: Bacteria; Pseudomonadati; Pseudomonadota; Gammaproteobacteria; Enterobacterales; Enterobacteriaceae. The record is from RNAcentral.
GGGUUGUGAGGUUAAGCGACUAAGCGUACACGGUGGAUGCCCUGGCAGUCAGAGGCGAUGAAGGACGUGCUAAUCUGCGAUAAGCGUCGGUGAGGUGAUAUGAACCGUUAUAACCGGCGAUUUCCGAAUGGGGAAACCCAGUGUGUUUCGACACACUAUCAUUAACUGAAUCCAUAGGUUAAUGAGGCGAACCGGGGGAACUGAAACAUCUAAGUACCCCGAGGAAAAGAAAUCAACCGAGAUUCCCCCAGUAGCGGCGAGCGAACGGGGAGCAGCCCAGAGCCUGAAUCAGUGUGUGUGUUAGUGGAAGCGUCUGGAAAGGCGCGCGAUACAGGGUGACAGCCCCGUACACAAAAAUGCACAUACUGUGAGCUCGAUGAGUAGGGCGGGACACGUGGUAUCCUGUCUGAAUAUGGGGGGACCAUCCUCCAAGGCUAAAUACUCCUGACUGACCGAUAGUGAACCAGUACCGUGAGGGAAAGGCGAAAAGAACCCCGGCGAGGGGAGUGAAAAAGAACCUGAAACCGUGUACGUACAAGCAGUGGGAGCCUCUUAAUGGGGUGACUGCGUACCUUUUGUAUAAUGGGUCAGCGACUUAUAUUCUGUAGCAAGGUUAACCGAAUAGGGGAGCCGAAGGGAAACCGAGUCUUAACUGGGCGUUAAGUUGCAGGGUAUAGACCCGAAACCCGGUGAUCUAGCCAUGGGCAGGUUGAAGGUUGGGUAACACUAACUGGAGGACCGAACCGACUAAUGUUGAAAAAUUAGCGGAUGACUUGUGGCUGGGGGUGAAAGGCCAAUCAAACCGGGAGAUAGCUGGUUCUCCCCGAAAGCUAUUUAGGUAGCGCCUCGUGAAUUCAUCUCCGGGGGUAGAGCACUGUUUCGGCAAGGGGGUCAUCCCGACUUACCAACCCGAUGCAAACUGCGAAUACCGGAGAAUGUUAUCACGGGAGACACACGGCGGGUGCUAACGUCCGUCGUGAAGAGGGAAACAACCCAGACCGCCAGCUAAGGUCCCAAAGUCAUGGUUAAGUGGGAAACGAUGUGGGAAGGCCCAGACAGCCAGGAUGUUGGCUUAGAAGCAGCCAUCAUUUAAAGAAAGCGUAAUAGCUCACUGGUCGAGUCGGCCUGCGCGGAAGAUGUAACGGGGCUAAACCAUG